CAAUAGCGUAUAUUAAAGUUGUUGCAGUUAGAACGCUCGUAGUCGGAUUUCGGGGCGGGGCGACCGGUCUGCCGAUGGGUAUGCACUGGUCGGCGCGUCCUUCCUUCCGGAGACCGUUCCUACUCUUAACUGAGCGGGGGCGGGAGACGGAUCGUUUACUUUGAAAAAAUCAGGGUGUUUCAAGCAGGCAGCUCGCUCUUGCAUGGAUUAGCAUGGGAUAAUGAAAUAGGACUUUGGUGCUAUUUUGUUGGUUUCGAACACCGAAGUAAUGAUUAAAAGGGACAGUCAGGGGCACUCGUAUUCCGCCGAGAGAGGUGAAAUUCUCAGACCAGCGGAAGACGAACCACUGCGAAAGCAUUUGCCAGGGAUGUUUUCACUGA
Molecule: ribosomal RNA, 380 nt
Filed under: uncultured eukaryote
Lineage: Eukaryota
Description: partial 18S ribosomal RNA
Rfam family: Eukaryotic small subunit ribosomal RNA
Source: RNAcentral